Etheostoma cragini (Arkansas darter) is the source of this 78-nucleotide long non-coding RNA. RefSeq lists it as uncharacterized. The record is from RefSeq and is a predicted model, not a curated record. Lineage: Eukaryota; Metazoa; Chordata; Actinopteri; Perciformes; Percidae. The transcript has 3 exons.
UUUUCAAUUCAAAUUGCUUUGUUGGCAUGAAUGUCAGGAAUAACAAUAUUGCCAAAGCUUCUCUCUCUGUCUCUCUCU